RNAcentral lists this ribosomal RNA (601 nucleotides) under Curtobacterium sp. RNAcentral describes it as "bacterial SSU rRNA". It matches the Rfam family "Bacterial small subunit ribosomal RNA", at positions 227 to 834 of the family's 1533-position model. The record is from RNAcentral. Lineage: Bacteria; Bacillati; Actinomycetota; Actinomycetes; Micrococcales; Microbacteriaceae.
GGACUCGCGGCCUAUCAGCUUGUUGGUGAGGUAAUGGCUCACCAAGGCGACGACGGGUAGCCGGCCUGAGAGGGUGACCGGCCACACUGGGACUGAGACACGGCCCAGACUCCUACGGGAGGCAGCAGUGGGGAAUAUUGCACAAUGGGCGAAAGCCUGAUGCAGCAACGCCGCGUGAGGGAUGACGGCCUUCGGGUUGUAAACCUCUUUUAGUAGGGAAGAAGGGAGCUUGCUCUUGACGGUACCUGCAGAAAAAGCACCGGCUAACUACGUGCCAGCAGCCGCGGUAAUACGUAGGGUGCAAGCGUUGUCCGGAAUUAUUGGGCGUAAAGAGCUCGUAGGCGGUUUGUCGCGUCUGCUGUGAAAUCCCGAGGCUCAACCUCGGGCUUGCAGUGGGUACGGGCAGACUAGAGUGCGGUAGGGGAGAUUGGAAUUCCUGGUGUAGCGGUGGAAUGCGCAGAUAUCAGGAGGAACACCGAUGGCGAAGGCAGAUCUCUGGGCCGUAACUGACGCUGAGGAGCGAAAGCGUGGGGAGCGAACAGGAUUAGAUACCCUGGUAGUCCACGCCGUAAACGUUGGGCGCUAGAUGUAGGGACCUUUC